Molecule: long non-coding RNA, 834 nt
Organism: Triticum aestivum (bread wheat)
Lineage: Eukaryota; Viridiplantae; Streptophyta; Magnoliopsida; Poales; Poaceae
Exons: 4
Source: RefSeq, a predicted model, not a curated record
CAUGGUGAGUAAUCUUGAUUCCUGAAGUGUUUUUCUGUGUCUCUUUUGUCAGAUGGGUGUUGUUUCUGUUUUGUAGAGGCAAGCUGAUCCUGAAAAGAAACGACCACACAGAUCAAAGGUUUAUUUAGCAACUCACAAGAAGAAGGACGAUGCUAAUGCUAAAAAUAAAGAUAGAAACAAGUGCCUGGAUCGAUUGGAGAAUCUAAUAACUGAACGACCAGAGUUGGCACAAAAUUUGAAUGGAAGAGUCGCAUGGGAAGGUGAUGCCCUGCAGGAAGUGUUAGGGAAAGAAAAGAUUGGACAAGUGCAUGGCAUGGGUUUGCUUCCAACUCCUAAGCAAGUCUACGGUUGGACGCCACGGUAUCUAAAGAACAUCAAUAUGACCACAACUGAUGGAUCACCAUAUGAAGUUGAACAUGAUGUUUGGGAGGAAAUAGCAAAGAUGAAGGAGCAUAUAAAAAAGCAAGACCAGAUUAUUAAAGAUAUGAAUAACAAAGAAGGCUAUGUCAAUAAUGGCAUAGAAGAGGAAAACCUCCAAUCAAAUGAUAAUGGUAUUUCUCGGUUACCAGUACUGCUUGGUAAAACAAAGGUAAUGUUAAUAAAGGCCUACAUCAUUGCUUGUCACUUGAAACCUUCAUAUUAAUAUUUCAGUUUGCAGAGAAUCCAAUGCAAUGGACCUGUUGAGGCACGCUCGUCUAUGCAACAUGACAUUCCUGAGGAUAAUAAUUUAUCAUGUUCGCAUGAAAAGGUUGGCGACCAUGAUGUCAACCAAUUACAAAUUCAACAAAAUUCAUCAUCACCACAAGACCUUGUUAUUGAUUAUGUGCUAGAGGU